This 65-nucleotide transfer RNA is filed under the name Gonocephalus grandis (Giant forest dragon). RNAcentral's name for it is "tRNA-Ile". The record is from RNAcentral. Lineage: Eukaryota; Metazoa; Chordata; Lepidosauria; Squamata; Agamidae.
AGAAAUGUGCCCGAAAAUAAGGGCUAUUUUGAUAAAAUAGACAUAGAGCCACACUCUCAUUUCUA